RNAcentral lists this long non-coding RNA (1295 nucleotides) under Cyanistes caeruleus (blue tit). RNAcentral's name for it is "lncRNA (ENSCCEG00000006686.1)". Lineage: Eukaryota; Metazoa; Chordata; Aves; Passeriformes; Paridae. The record is from RNAcentral.
GAUUAUUGUAUGCUUUUUUUCUAAUAUAUAGCAGUUGCAACUUGUAGGUGGAAAGACUGGUUGUAUCUUCUCUAAAACAUCCCAUUAAGGCUGGGUUUGCUCCAAGCUGCACAAACCCAGAUGUCCUUGGAGUCUUUCCUCUUAUAUCAUAUGCCCCAGUCCCUAGCUAUUCUCCACUGGACUUGUUCCCAUAUGUCAAUGAGCUCAUUGUACUUAGGAGCCCCCCAAAACAUUUUCUCAGCUGUAGUUUCUAACCCUCCUUUGUUUUCAAGCUUGUAAGAUCAAGAAUGAUUAAUCUAUUUAUUUAAAGGAAAUAAAAGAAAACGUCAUAUAAGGGCACAAUCUCUGGGCUGUCUCUGCAUUUAACAUUAGACAGAUGGCUCACAUUCCACCUGAGUCUCUGGAGGCAGAUGCAGCCCAGAUCUAAAUGGGGAGCUGCUCAGCUGCAGCCAUGUCAAAUGCUGACCAUAUGUCACAAUGGCUAGAGUCAAGGGGAAGAGGGGAAAAUACAGCUUUACAGUCCUGCUCAAGUGUCCUGAAAAUCAGCACCAAAGUCUCUUGUACUGUCUUCUGUUUGCUGUAGAUCCUAGAACGACAAGCAAAUUUUCUGUCAGCUGUCAGGCAAACUCUGAAGAGAAGCAGCAAUGACUCACUGGUCUUCACAUGGAGAUUUCACACGUUUGCCUUAGCAUAUAUGCCAGUUCCACUCCAUAUAGCCUGUUUAGCUUACGGCACUGCUGACUGGAAGGACGUACAGCACCUCCACAUCCCUGCUGUGCAAGAUAAGUGUACGGUACUGAUAUGAAAUGUAAUUGAUUUCACUGGCACAGCCUGUCCUGCAGUUCACAGGCAACAAUCUCAAAUAAUUUAAAGAGAUCACUAAUCUGAUAUUAAAUUGCAGCUAUUAAUAUGUGAUAUUGCUUUUUCAACCACCCCAGUGAACUAUUUGCAAUGGCUUCCUUUCUUUCUUUGUAACUUCAGCCUCCUUCUUUCUUUCUCCUUCCAUUUAUAUCCUUCAAAUAUACUUAUCUGAGCACUCCUGAAGGAUGAUAUGUACGAAAAAAAGCUAUACCAAGACAUAAUUACACUGGCAUAGCUAACAGAAAAGACCUAGAUGUUUCAAAUGUCAGUAGAUCUGAAGAUGUGUGGGCAGGAUUUACAACACUGGUAUGUUGCCACUGGUUACUGACUGCAUUUUUAACCUUCCCACUGCUGGCUAGCAGUGUGAAAAAGCAUAAGUCUGGGAAUUUAACACUAGAAAUAAACAAGCUCAUUACAAUCCUCUAAAAUUUAUU